GGGGCGGUGGCGAAAUGGCAGACGCAGCGGACUUAAAAUCCGCCGGGGGCAACUCCGUGUGGGUUCGAAUCCCACCCGCCCUA
This 83-nucleotide transfer RNA is filed under the name Chloroflexota bacterium. RNAcentral's name for it is "Chloroflexi bacterium tRNA-Leu". It matches the Rfam family "tRNA". From Rfam's summary of the family: Transfer RNA (tRNA) molecules are approximately 80 nucleotides in length. The record is from RNAcentral. RNAcentral also lists the same sequence under 1 other name. Lineage: Bacteria; Bacillati; Chloroflexota.